GGAGGCCGGGCAGCUGGACCAGAGAGAGCAGGGGUAAAGCGAAGCGGGAAGACGAUAAGGAGUGUAGGGAAAAAUCACGAAAGACCGAAAUGUCAUGAGAGCCUCGACUGGCUGCCUGCCUACCCGUUUCUGGCCUCUAAGAGUUCAACAUCAUGAGGCCAUUAGGCGGCCAGGCUCGGCAUCGCCGUUCGGAGCUAAAACGGAGAGUUAGCCUCUACGGGGCCAGCCGACGACGGGCCACACGCGUGCUGCCUUCUGGGCACCUCCCAUCCCUGGGUGCCUCGGAACCUCAGGGCUCAGAGAGGCUAACGGCGAGCUGGAGGUCACAUGGCCAUCUUCUGCCAGGCCAGGAUCGGAUGGAUGCCAGACUCGCCCUCCUUCCCCUUCCCUGGGGAGAUUUGGAUCCAUGUUCAUCAACCGCGACAUCGCUCUCUGGUCGGCCCCUUCAACGGUAUAGGGGGAGCCAGGUAAGUCUCUCGGAGCCCCCCGUCCCCCACUGACAGUUUAUAACAGUG
Long non-coding RNA from Herpailurus yagouaroundi (jaguarundi), 515 nucleotides. RefSeq lists it as uncharacterized. The transcript has 2 exons. Lineage: Eukaryota; Metazoa; Chordata; Mammalia; Carnivora; Felidae. The record is from RefSeq and is a predicted model, not a curated record.